AAACCAUGUGAUGAAUUUGGAUUCUCAAUCUCACGACGGUCGUCUGAGUUUAACGUUGAUGUAAUGAUCCGAUAUUUCUGAUGGUU
Lathyrus oleraceus (garden pea) is the source of this 86-nucleotide small nucleolar RNA. RefSeq annotates it as small nucleolar RNA Z161/Z228. The transcript has a single exon. Lineage: Eukaryota; Viridiplantae; Streptophyta; Magnoliopsida; Fabales; Fabaceae. The record is from RefSeq and is a predicted model, not a curated record.